AGACAGUUAGUAUAAUAAACAAUACGUUAGUUUGUCGUGCUAAAAACACUUUUACUUAAGUACUGUCUU
Molecule: transfer RNA, 69 nt
Filed under: Magallana nippona (Iwagaki oyster)
Lineage: Eukaryota; Metazoa; Mollusca; Bivalvia; Ostreida; Ostreidae
Description: tRNA-Asp
Source: RNAcentral